CGACCGGGGCGACAGCAAUAUGAAGGUCAGGCUGAAGACCUUACCCGAUUAGCUGAGAGGUGGUGCAUGGCCGUCGUCAGUUCGUACUGUGAGGCAUCCUGUUAAGUCAGGCAACGAGCGAGACCCACGUCCACAGUUGCCAGCAUACCCUCCGGGGUGAUGGGUACACUGUGGAGACCGCCGCUGCUAAAGCGGAGGAAGGAGUGGGCAACGGUAGGUCAGUAUGCCCCGAAUCUCCCGGGCUACACGCGGGCUACAAUGGUUGGUACAAUGGGCAUCUACCCCGAAAGGGGAAGGAAAUCUCUUAAAGCCAAUCGUAGUUCGGAUUGAGGGCUGCAACUCGCCCUCAUGAAGCUGGAAUCCGUAGUAAUCGCGUUUCAACAGAACGCGGUGAAUACGUCCCUGCUCCUU
This 411-nucleotide ribosomal RNA is filed under the name uncultured Methanosaeta sp. RNAcentral describes it as "bacterial SSU rRNA". It matches the Rfam family "Archaeal small subunit ribosomal RNA", at positions 922 to 1338 of the family's 1478-position model. Lineage: Archaea; Methanobacteriati; Methanobacteriota; Methanomicrobia; Methanotrichales; Methanotrichaceae. The record is from RNAcentral.